This 786-nucleotide ribosomal RNA is filed under the name uncultured bacterium. RNAcentral's name for it is "bacterial SSU rRNA". It matches the Rfam family "Bacterial small subunit ribosomal RNA", at positions 97 to 913 of the family's 1533-position model. The record is from RNAcentral.
GGCGGACGGCUGAGUAACGCGUAGGAACGUACCCCAAAGUGAGGGAUAAGCACCGGAAACGGUGUCUAAUACCGCAUAUGGUCUUCGGAUUAAAGCAGCAAUGCGCUAUGGGAACGGCCUGCGUCGGAUUAGCUAGUUGGUGAGGUAAUGGCUCACCAAGGCGACGAUCCGUAGCUGGUCUGAGAGGAUGAUCAGCCAGACUGGAACUGAGACACGGUCCAGACUCCUACGGGAGGCAGCAGUUAGGAAUCUUCCACAAUGGGGGCAACCCUGAUGGAGCAACACCGCGUGCUGGAUGAAGGCCUUCGGGUCGUAAACAGCUUUUGUAUACGAAGAAUAUGACGGUAAUAUACGAAUAAGGGUCGGCUAACUACGUGCCAGCAGCCGCGGUCAUACGUAGGACCCAAGCGUUAUCCGGAGUGACUGGGCGUAAAGAGUUGCGUAGGCGGCUUAUUAAGCGAGUAGUGAAAUCUGGUGGCUCAACCAUCAACACAUUGCUCGAACUGAUAGGCUUGAGAAUGGUAGAGGUAGUUGGAAUUUCUUGUGUAGGAGUGAAAUCCGUAGAUAUAAGAAGGAACACCAAUGGCGUAGGCAGACUACUGGACCAUUUCUGACGCUGAGGCACGAAAGCGUGGGGAGCGAACCGGAUUAGAUACCCGGGUAGUCCACGCCGUAAACGAUGGAUGCUAGCUGUGGGGGGGUAUCGACCCCCUCCGUAGCGAAGCUAACGCGUUAAGCAUCCCGCCUGUGGAGUACGGCCGCAAGGCUAAAACAUAAAGGAAUUGA